GACGAACGCUGGCGGCGUGCCUAAUACAUGCAAGUCGAACGAGAGCGACCGGUGCUUGCACUGGUCAAUCUAGUGGCGAACGGGUGAGUAACACGUGGGUAACCUGCCCAUCAGAGGGGGAUAACAUCCGGAAAAGGAUGCUAAAACAGCAUAGGUCUUCGAACCGCAUGGUUUGAAGAGGAAAAGAGGCGCAAGCUUCUGCUGAUGGAUGGACCCGCGGUGCAUUAGCUAGUUGGUGAGGUAACGGCUCACCAAGGCCGUGAUGCAUAGCCGACCUGAGAGGGUGAUCGGCCACAUUGGGACUGAGACACGGCCCAGACUCCUACGGGAGGCAGCAGUAGGGAAUCUUCCGCAAUGGACGCAAGUCUGACGGAGCAACGCCGCGUGAGUGAAGAAGGUUUUCGGAUCGUAAAAUUCUGUUGUUAGGGAAGAACAAGUGCUAGAGUAACUGUUAGCGCCUUGACGGUAUCUAACCAGAAAGCCACGGCUAACUACGUG
This 498-nucleotide ribosomal RNA is filed under the name uncultured bacterium. RNAcentral's name for it is "partial 16S ribosomal RNA". It matches the Rfam family "Bacterial small subunit ribosomal RNA", at positions 28 to 507 of the family's 1533-position model. The record is from RNAcentral.